RNAcentral lists this ribosomal RNA (462 nucleotides) under Entomophthalmus americanus. RNAcentral's name for it is "partial 16S ribosomal RNA". Lineage: Eukaryota; Metazoa; Arthropoda; Insecta; Coleoptera; Eucnemidae. The record is from RNAcentral.
CAUGUCUUUAUGAUAAUAAUUUUAGGUUUGAUCUGCCCACUGAAAUAUUUUAAAUGGCCGCAGUAUAUUAACUGUGCAAAGGUAGCGUGAUAAUUAGUUUUUUAAUUGAAAGCUGGUAUGAAUGAUUUAACGAGAAAAUUACUUUUUUAGAUUAAAAAGUUGAAUUUUAUUUUUAAGUUAAAAAGCUUAAAUUUUUUUAAGGGACGAGAAGACCCUAUAGAGUUUAAUAUUAAUUUAAAUGGUUUAUUUGGGAAUAAUUUUUACUAUUUAUUGUUAAUAUUUAAUUGGGGUGAUUAAAAGAUUAAUUUAACUCUUUUUACUUUUAACAAUGAUGUUUGAAUAUGGGAUCUAUUAUAUAAUAGAAAGAAUAAAUUACCUUAGGGAUAACAGCGUAAUUUUUUAAAAAGUUCUUAUUUAAAUAAAAGAUUGCGACCUCGAUGUUGGAUUAAAAUUUAGUUUAGA